RNA transcript from Leptopilina boulardi, 989 nucleotides. RefSeq lists it as uncharacterized. The record is from RefSeq and is a predicted model, not a curated record. The transcript has 6 exons. NCBI's taxonomy places the organism in Eukaryota, Metazoa, Arthropoda, Insecta, Hymenoptera, Figitidae.
GGUUUCGUGCCUGUCACAUUUACCUUUUUAACUUUUAGAUAAAAUUUCGUCGCUCCUCCUCGUAAUCGGCAUUAUUACACUUCAAAACAAUCGGCUUUUUCAUUGACAAUGUCAAAUCGCGUUAAUACACAUCAAUUCAAACAAUCCAGAACAUGGAAUAUCCGAAAACUGUCAAAUUAUGUAUGUUGGCUUUUGGAAAGUGGCCAUGCAGAAGCCGUAUUUUAAAUCGUGUGCUACGGAUUUUUUAUAUUAUUUCUUUUCUAUCGGUUGAAACACCGAUACUAAGAUUAUUUUCUGUAACAAGGAAUAACAUUCAAAAAUUUAUUAUUUGCUUUUCAAUAUCUCCUGCGUGUGCUAAUUGUUCAAUGAAAUAUGUGUGUUUUAUUAUCAAUACACGAGGUGUACUAUUUUUAUUAGAUAAAAUUUUAGAAAACUUUAAAGACAUUGAAUCUAGGAAAGAAUUUUGUAUUUUGAAAAAAUUAACUAAAGAAGCAAAACAUAUAAAUCUGAUUUUUAUCAGUAUCGCUCGGAAAACAUUAUGAAUAUUAGAAGGACAAUUAAGGUUAUUAGCAAUGAGGAGAGGAUGCAAAAAAAUGUUUAUUGUAUUUUGCUACAUAAUAAUAUUCUUGAGUUUGUCGAAAAACUUGAUUUAUGUUUCACCAAGUGUUUGUUAAUCUCUUACGGAUAUAUUAUAUUAGCAAUGACAAUUUUAGGCGCAAUGGUAUGUUUUAAUUCAAAUAUCAUAUAUGUUAUAAAUAAUAUAUAAUUUAAGAUUGAACGAGAUAUAAAGAAACAAUAUAAUACGAAUUUAUAACUUGGUAAAUAAUUAUACAGAUAAAAAUUAUGAAAAUUAUCAUUCAAUUCAUAACAGAGGUCAAAUUCAACCUGACUUAAAUUAAUUGAUAAUUUGCAACAACGCAUAUAUCUUAUUAAAUAAUAUAUAAUGUUAGAGGAGAAAAUUCCUUCUCUUAUUUUCAUUCCAUUUUUUA